GAUGAACGCUGGCGGUAUGCUUAACACAUGCAAGUCGUACGAAGAUAAAAUUGUGCUUGCACGAUUUUAUACUUAGUGGCGGACGGGUGAGUAACACGUAAGAAUCUACCUUUUGGCGAGGGACAACCACUGGAAACGGUGGCUAAUACCUCAUAUAACUGAGAAGUGAAAGAUGAAAAUCACCAAGAGAUGAGCUUGCGUCUGAUUAGCUAGUUGGUAAGGUAAAGGCUUACCAAGGCGACGAUCAGUAGCUGGUCUGAGAGGAUGAUCAGCCACACUGGGACUGAGACACGGCCCAG
RNAcentral lists this ribosomal RNA (299 nucleotides) under uncultured bacterium. RNAcentral's name for it is "partial 16S ribosomal RNA". It matches the Rfam family "Bacterial small subunit ribosomal RNA", at positions 28 to 334 of the family's 1533-position model. The record is from RNAcentral.